RNAcentral lists this ribosomal RNA (435 nucleotides) under uncultured bacterium. Its description in RNAcentral is "partial 16S ribosomal RNA". It matches the Rfam family "Bacterial small subunit ribosomal RNA", at positions 29 to 507 of the family's 1533-position model. The record is from RNAcentral.
AACGAACGCUGGCGGCAUGCCUAACACAUGCAAGUCGAACGAUUGCCUUCGGGUGAUAGUGGCGCACGGGUGCGUAACGCGUGGGAAUCUGCCCUUAGGUUCGGAAUAACAGCUGGAAACGGCUGCUAAUACCGGAUGAUAUCGCGAGAUCAAAGAUUUAUCGCCUGAGGAUGAGCCCGCGUUGGAUUAGGUAGUUGGUGGGGUAAAGGCCUACCAAGCCGACGAUCCAUAGCUGGACUGAGAGGAUGAUCAGCCACACUGGGACUGAGACACGGCCCAGACUCCUACGGGAGGCAGCAGUGGGGAAUAUUGGACAAUGGGCGCAAGCCUGAUCCAGCAAUGCCGCGUGAGUGAUGAAGGCCCUAGGGUUGUAAAGCUCUUUUACCCGGGAAGAUAAUGACUGUACCGGGAGAAUAAGCCCCGGCUAACUCCGUG